RNAcentral lists this ribosomal RNA (263 nucleotides) under uncultured bacterium. RNAcentral describes it as "partial 16S ribosomal RNA". It matches the Rfam family "Bacterial small subunit ribosomal RNA", at positions 793 to 1055 of the family's 1533-position model. The record is from RNAcentral.
GUCCACGCCGUAACGAUGAUUGCUAGGUGUAGGUGGGUAUGGACCCAUCGGUGCCGCAGCUAACGCAAUAAGCAAUCCACCUGGGGAGUACGUUCGCAAGAAUGAAACUCAAAGGAAUUGACGGGGACCCGCACAAGCAGCGGAGCAUGUGGUUUAAUUCGAAGCAACGCGAAGAACCUUACCAGGUUUUGACAUAGGAGUGACCGGGUCAGAGAUGAUCCCUUUCUUCGGAACACUCCAUACAGGUGGUGCAUGGUUGUCGU